CAGCCGCCGCGGGAAUACGAAGGGGGCUAGCGUUGUUCGGAAUUACUGGGCGUAAAGGGCGCGUAGGCGGCCAUUCAAGUUAGAUGUGAAAGUCCUGGGCUCAACCUAGGAAUUGCAUUUGAUACUGUUUGGCUUGAGUUCGGGAGAGGUGAGUGGAAUUCCCAGUGUAGAGGUGAAAUUCGUAGAUAUUGGGAAGAACACCAGUGGCGAAGGCGGCUCACUGGACCGACACUGACGCUGAGGCGCGAAAGCGUGGGGAGCAAACAGGAUUAGAUACCCGGGUAGUCCCUGUCUCUUAUAA
This 301-nucleotide ribosomal RNA is filed under the name uncultured bacterium. Its description in RNAcentral is "partial 16S ribosomal RNA". It matches the Rfam family "Bacterial small subunit ribosomal RNA", at positions 509 to 809 of the family's 1533-position model. The record is from RNAcentral.